GAUGAGCGCUGGCGGCGUGCCUAAUACAUGCAAGUCGAGCGAACAGACGAGGAGCUUGCUCCUCUGACGUUAGCGGCGGACGGGUGAGUAACACGUGGAUAACCUACCUAUAAGACUGGGAUAACUUCGGGAAACCGGAGCUAAUACCGGAUAAUAUAUUGAACCGCAUGGUUCAAUAGUGAAAGACGGUUUUGCUGUCACUUAUAGAUGGAUCCGCGCCGGAUUAGCUAGUUGGUAAGGUAACGGCUUACCAAGGCAACGAUGCGUAGCCGACCUGAGAGGGUGAUCGGCCACACUGGAACUGAGACACGGUCCAGACUCCUACGGGAGGCAGCAGUAGGGAAUCUUCCGCAAUGGGCGAAAGCCUGACGGAGCAACGCCGCGUGAGUGAUGAAGGUCUUCGGAUCGUAAAACUCUGUUAUUAGGGAAGAACAAAUGUGUAAGUAACUAUGCACGUCUUGACGGUACCUAAUCAGAAAGCCACGGCUAACUACGUG
RNAcentral lists this ribosomal RNA (497 nucleotides) under uncultured bacterium. RNAcentral describes it as "partial 16S ribosomal RNA". It matches the Rfam family "Bacterial small subunit ribosomal RNA", at positions 28 to 507 of the family's 1533-position model. The record is from RNAcentral.